AAUCCAUGGUGAGGACAUCUUCUCAUCAAAUCCUUAUACCUUUCCCAAGCCUCAUAUAGUGAUUUAGAAUCAAAUUGCAUGAAAAGAAGUAAUAUCAUUCCGCAUUUU
RNAcentral lists this small nucleolar RNA (108 nucleotides) under Theobroma cacao (cacao). RNAcentral's name for it is "Plant small nucleolar RNA R71". It matches the Rfam family "Plant small nucleolar RNA R71". From Rfam's summary of the family: R71 is a member of the C/D box family of snoRNAs containing the C (UGAUGA) and D (CUGA) box motifs. Multiple nearly identical copies of this snoRNA have been identified in Arabidopsis, and it is thought to function as a 2'-O-ribose methylation guide for 18S ribosomal RNA. Lineage: Eukaryota; Viridiplantae; Streptophyta; Magnoliopsida; Malvales; Malvaceae. The record is from Rfam by way of RNAcentral.